UUGUCAGCCGCCGCGGUAAGACGAAGGUGGCUAGCGUUAUUCGGAUUUACUGGGCAUAAAGCGCGCGUAGGCGGCUUGGCAAGUCGGAGGUGAAAGCCUGCAGCUCAACUGCGGUGUGCCUCCGAAACUGCCGAGCUUGAGUGCGGGAGGGGUGAUUGGAACUCCAGGUGUAGCGGUGAAAUGCGUAGAUAUCUGGAGGAACACCAGAGGCGAAGGCGAAUCACUGGACCGCAACUGACGCUGAGGCGCGAAAGCUAGGGGAGCAAACAGGAUUAGAAACCCGUGUAGUCC
RNAcentral lists this ribosomal RNA (291 nucleotides) under uncultured bacterium. RNAcentral describes it as "partial 16S ribosomal RNA". It matches the Rfam family "Bacterial small subunit ribosomal RNA", at positions 505 to 796 of the family's 1533-position model. The record is from RNAcentral.